RNA transcript from Rattus norvegicus (Norway rat), 2444 nucleotides. It is a transcript of the gene named DALR anticodon binding domain containing 3, with no coding region annotated. NCBI's taxonomy places the organism in Eukaryota, Metazoa, Chordata, Mammalia, Rodentia, Muridae. The record is from RefSeq and is marked provisional.
CGGUGAGUCCCACAGGGCCGCCCAGCCCGCAGCUCGCUAAAGAUAGCUCUUCACUUCCUGGGGAAAAACCACCCCAACCGUCUUCAUGGAGGGAGAGUAGCAAAAAUCACCAACUUUGCCAGUGGGUCCCAGCCCUGGUAGCAACUGAACCCACAGCAUGGAAAGUGCUUUGGAAUGACACGAUCACUCCCGUUGAGUGGGCACCCAAGAAGCCAUCGGGAAUAUCGUGUCCGCCCAGUGCUCUUUCGGCACCUCCCAAACAGGGCCUCAUAGCCCUGGCCUGGCCGAACUUUUCCUCUCUCUAGAUUUCACUCCUCUCCAGAGCAAAGUUCACCAGUUGGAUUCAUUCAUUACUGGGGGAAGUGAAGUUUUACGUUCCUUUGAAACGAAAGCGUUUGGACAGACAAAAGCUUCCCUGCCACAUGCUCCACCUGAGAUCUGCUUAUUUGAGUCCUUUUUUUUCACAUUUCAUUGUCUUAAACUGGCCAGUUGCCUAAAGACUCAGCCGGAAACACCAGUUUAAAGGAAAAACCAUUAAAGGCCAGUAGUUCUGGAAAUUAUGAUGACUCUUAAUUCCUCAGGCAUCAAGAUGGGCAAUUCUAUCAGAUAGGGCUUUUACUGAAAAUAAAGACAUCCCAUACCGCACCCGAGGAAAGGUGUGCCAAUAAUAUGAAAGAACUCAAAUUUUGUUUUGUUUCUUUACUUUUUCAAGUAGGCGGUAAAGGGUCUUUAAGGAGCGGUGGCGCACGCCUUUGAUCCCAGCCAGCAUUCGGGAGGUAGAGGCAAGUGGCUCUCUGAGUUCAAGACCAUGCUGGUCUACAAAGUUGAGUUCAAGGACAGGCAUGGCUACACAGAAAAACCCUGUCUCGAAAAACAAAAAAGGUGUCAUUAAUGGUAAAGCUUUCUUCCUUAGACAUUUCGUCUAGUGCGUCUGACCUUUAAUUUGUUUAAAUGGUGCGGAAAAAAAAGCACAAAGAUGUGAAACUUUGGUGGCAAUGUACGAGUCUUGACUGGUAACAAAGAUCCGUUACCAAAUUAAUAAUUCGGGGUGACGAUUAAAAAGUAAAAGGAAAAAAGAACCCUCAGAUUUGGGGGCUAGGGCUCACGAAUACAGGAAAGGCCAUCGGGAGGGAGAGCUGGAGGCGUGGGUAGAAUGUAAGCUCACUUAGCAUGCUCGAGCGCGCUGGUCCACUGGGGAGAGUCCACUGCCGGAUCCCCGCCCCCGCCAAGCGAACCUCCCGGAAGCUCUAAGGAUAACUUACUUCCUGUUCCACUUACUCUUCCGGUCUCCAUGGCGACCGGGCGCCUUGGGGUUGGGGAGACGCUGCAGGCCCUUAACGCCGCUGUAGGGCCUGGUAGCCCGGUGUGGUUUAAGGAAACGCAUGCCCGACACCUUCGUGUCCGAGACUUCUUGGCACCGCGAAGCGCGCUACAGGCGCGCUUCAGGGACGGGCAGGUGCCAGAGUGCGUGUUCCGGGCGGUCUCCUGCCUGCAGGGUCCGGGAGUGGCCCCUGUUCUGCGUUGCGCGCCCACACCCGCGGGCUUAUCGCUCCAACUACAGCGGCCCGCAGUCUUCGAACAUGUACUCGGUGCCCUGGCCUCCUAUGCUACUCCUGCCAAACCCGCCUCACCAGGCCCGCGCGUUAUCCUACACUGCCCGGCACUGCGCUGUAAUCCAGAUACGCUCCGAUUGAGCCAGCUGCGUGCUGUGCUAGUGGCCGAUCACCUAGUACGGGUGCUGCGCGCUCACGGGGUACGUGUGUGCACAGUGCCCCCGGUGCGGGACCCACACAUGUCAACUUUCCUCCAGAAACUUCGAGUGGAAUGGCCCUCUGCCUCAAAGAACACCUCGACCGAAACACUGAGGACCUGUGUUCUUGCAAAGUUUAAUGUUUCUAAGGAGGAGACACUGCCCCCUGGCGUCCUAGGCCGACUGUGUCUGAAGGAACUGGUAGAACAGAGACAUGCUGCUGGCUAUGACCCCAGCAUAGAUCACUGUUUGGUGACUGAAGAUCUGCUCUCUGUGCUGUCUGAGCUGCAGGAGGCUGCGCGCCAUUGGCCAGAGGAUGGCCACCCAGCCCCGGUUGGGGGUCCAGAUGCCGGUGUAGAUGACUGUGUGGUUAUACAUGUGGUGAGCUGUGAAGAGGCAUUCCAGCAACAAAAGCUGGAUCUGCUUUGGCAGAAGGUGGAUGACCAGGUUCCUCACAGGCAGGUUGGUUACCAAAGAAGCACCUGGUGUGUGGCCCAGUGAAAGUAGCUGGUGUGCCUGGCACCCAGAUGACCGCCCCCGAGUACCACAGGCUCCGACAUGCUCAGGUGUGCAAGGCCUCAGCCCAGAAGCAUGGUGGUGACUUGGCACAAGACCCGGCCUGGACCGAGACCUUUGAUAUUCUCUCUGUGGCCACCAUUAAAUUUGAGAUGCUAAGCACAGCUCCACAGGGCCA